RNAcentral lists this ribosomal RNA (253 nucleotides) under uncultured bacterium. RNAcentral describes it as "partial 16S ribosomal RNA". It matches the Rfam family "Bacterial small subunit ribosomal RNA", at positions 524 to 776 of the family's 1533-position model. The record is from RNAcentral.
GACGGAGGAUGCAAGCGUUAUCCGGAAUUAUUGGGCGUAAAGCGUCCGCAGGUGGACAUACAAGUCUGCUGUCAAAGUGCAGAGCUUAACUCUGUAAAGGCGGUGGAAACUGUAGGUCUUGAGUAUGGUAGGGGUAGAGGGAAUUCCCGGUGUAACGGUGAAAUGCGUAGAUAUCGGGAAGAACACCAGUGGCGAAAGCGCUCUACUGGGCCAUAACUGACACUGAGGGACGAAAGCUAGGGGAGCGAAAGGG